GAUGAACGCUAGCGGCAGGCCUAAUACAUGCAAGCUGAACGGCAAGAUUUGUAGCAAUACGAGUCCUAGAGUAGCGUAAGGGUGCGUAACACGUAUGCAAUCUGCCCGCAACAGGAGGAUAGCUUAGCGAAAGUUGAGAUAAGACUCCAUAAGAUCACGAGAGGGCAUCUGAUUGUGAUUAAACUACAAGGGGUUGCGGAUGAGCANGCGUCUGAUUAGUUAGUUGGCGGGGUAACGGCCCACCAAGACGAUGAUCAGUAGGGGAACUGAGAGGUUGGUCCCCCACACUGGCACUGAGAUACGGGCC
RNAcentral lists this ribosomal RNA (307 nucleotides) under uncultured bacterium. RNAcentral's name for it is "partial 16S ribosomal RNA". It matches the Rfam family "Bacterial small subunit ribosomal RNA", at positions 28 to 332 of the family's 1533-position model. The record is from RNAcentral.